AAUAAAGAGUUUUUGAAAAAGUCUUGCAUUCUAACGCCUUUGUUAUUUCUUAUUCAGUUAGUUUAAGGUGGUUGGUUUGUGAAAUUUUAGUUGGUCCUCUAUAUUACAAAAAAUCCAGGGAAGAGAGUCAUGUCCAGCAAGAAUAUAGAGAGUGACAUCAUGGAUCAGACAAAAAGUCAGGAAAAUAAAAGUUUAAUGUAAGAGAUUGUGAGUUUGAGGCAACAAAUGAUGGAAAUGUAUCGAGCUUGGGCCAGUGGGCUGCCUCCUUCUCUAUUUUCCACUAUUGACCCUACAAAUACCUUGAGUUUUUCACCAAAAUUGCAAGGCCAAUUUUCUGCUGUUGGUUAUGCGCCAUAACAUGCCUCAGAAUUUAGUCCAAGCCAAAAGCAUCCUAAUGCUUCCGUCACUCAUUCUCUAGCUCUUCAGUGUAAAUCUACCAUAUUGAUAUCACAACCUAUCGUCUCUGCUUCUGUUGCUCAACCCUCUACUGAAGCUUCCACUUUGGAUUUUCGUCUGGCGAUUAUGCUUCCCCAAUCUGCUAGUGAGUCAAUGUUUAAUACUCUUGAUGAUCACUAUUAUACUCUUGAGCCCACAUCUAUGUUAAUUGGACCACUAAAUUUUUUUACCAAGAAGUCUGACAUGAAAGAAGAGCAAGAAAAACUGGCUAGGAAAAUGAAGAGCACAGAAAAGGCUACGAAAAAUUCUCUGGGACUUACGAAUUAUGAAGAUUUUGCAUAUAAGGACUGGGGCAUGUCUUCAAAUGUUAAAUUCCCUCCUAACUUUGAGGUAUCAAAAUUUGAGGAAUAUGAUGGGUACGAGGAUUUUGUAAAACACUUGGAACGAUAUUCCCAUCAGUUGAGGGGGAUUGAAGGAAAGAAGAAGGAAAAUGUAUCUAUUGUCAUUCCAGGGCAAAGCAAAGCUCGAGAGGUCCAAAUCAGCAAUAUUGUCAGUCUUAAUCCCGAUCUUACACUUCAAAUCCAUAUGCUCACCUGCAACAAGGUUCCUCUUUGCAAAAUUCAGAUAUUCCAUUCUACUUCCUCAGUAUUCUUUGAACAAUGCACAACAGUAUACUCAUCUGUCUUCUUAUCCACAAUGACGUGCACCGGUCCCUCAACAUCAUCCUCGGCCCCCACAUAUUUACCAAGGAACUUCUAAGUCCAAGGUUCAACCGAUAUCAGAGUUUGCAAAGAGGAGGAAGUCAAAGGAUAAGUUUACACCAAUUGGAAAAUCGUAUGCUAGUUUAUUCCAGAGAUUGAGAGAGUUGGACAUGAUUACUCCUCUCUUUAAGUGUACUCUUGACCUCAUUCAAGAAAUUUUGAUCCUCAUGUACGAUGUGUAUAUCAUUCUGAUGUUUAGGGUCACAGUAUUGAAGGUUGUAGUGCUUUGAAAAGAGAAAUAAAAAGGAUGAUUAAAGAAAAAUUGAUCGUAGUGCAAAACAUUGACACUACAAAGGUCACAUAGAAUCUUUCAUCAACGCAUGGUAAUGAAAAAUAUGUGGAAAGUAAUGAGUUAAGCAUGGAGAUCCAAAAUUUAUUUGUUGAAGAGAAUGUGUCUGACAGUGGUGGAAGCUCUAGUCAUGCUGAUAUGCAAACCAGUGGCUAAGAUGUCAGCAAUUGAGAAGUCACUCCUCUCCCUACUAGGAAGAGGUCUGAUAUUUUGUUUGUUUUCUUUUCUAUUAUCUGAAUUAUUUCACGAUUGUAGUUCGGGAUCUAUCUUGUUUUGUCCCUUUGUCGUUUAUAUUCAAACCCUUCUAUCUUUCAUUUUAACUAAAUGGAGUGUCCCUUUUCCCUUUGUGUUUUAAAUAUGUGUUGUUGUUUUUUUACAUAGUGCAUUUUAGGUUAGUUUAAGUGAUAUUACAUGCUUGCAGAAUUUUUAGGUAGAUCUUAAAAUCCAGCUUAAGCAUGAACUUUGAAUCAGAGGGCUAAAGUUAGAAAAAGGCAUCUGAGAAAAUAGGAAGAGUGUUGAGACAUUGGGUGACCAAGUUGAAGCCUUCUUUGAAAAUUAAGGCAAUUAUUUUGAGAAUUACAAGAAUAACUUGAUCAUCAAUUGAAAGACAUGUCUCAAUUAGGUUAAACAAUGAAUGCGUGAUCCUAUAUCAAAAGGAAUAGAAAGAAAAUCAACUCCACAAAAGCAUGAGUCAUUCGAUGUAAAAGAUGUACAAUAAAGGUGGAGUUGUAUAACUGGACAAGCGUAGAAGAAGUAGUGACACACAGACUCAGUUAAAGUUAGUGCUGUAAAAAAAUGUCACAAAUGAUCUUCAUCUUUCACUGUCAUAUUGCAUGAUAUGUACUUGCAUUUUCAAGGAUUGAUAUGGCGAAGACAUUUCAUUUUGCUAUCCAAACAUUGUGUCAUCCUUUGUUUACCCCGUUUGAACUUUAAUUCUAUUUUCUUUCAUACCCCUCUUUUGGAAUCAAUAUAGAGUCAACAAAGUUCAAGAAAAAGUGGUGAGUAAAAGAAUGGAGUCAGAAAAAAAAGAGAAGACAAAUGUGUCAAAAAUAAAGAAAAGUGAUGAGUAUCAAGAAAAAUAGGGUCAGACAAAGUUUUAAAGAGAAAAAAAGCCAAUAAAAGAGAAUAAAUAAAUAAAUUAGAGUCAAGCAAAAGAAUAAAUUAUCGGAACUACGUGUGACCUGAUUAUCCUCUCUCGAAGGUGAGAUACGUAGGCAGCCCUACUUUGGGCUCAGCCCAACUAAACGAACAAUUUAGAAUUACCCAGUUAAAGAAAGUGGGGCAUGGAUUAAUUUUCAUUGUUUGAGUCAAUUCCAAAAGUUGUAAGUCUCUCCCCACUUCAAGUGUCGUUUGGGCCUCAUGCCAUUUUUUUUCUAACCUUAUCCAAAAGUCAAGUUACAACCAAAGAAAGACCUUCAGAUCAAUCGUUGAGAAUGAUAAGGCUAAGCAUGCAAUGCAUAUAAUGAUGCAUUUUGGAAACUACUUGUUUUCCUCAGCAUAAGUAAUCAGAAGAGAAAUAAAAAUGAGAGUCUUAUCGGUGAAAACCCUUACGGGAACCGUAAGACGAUUCUGAGUUGAGAGAAUGAAAAUAUGAGAGUCUCAUUGGUGAAAACCCUCACAGACACUAUAGGACAAUGGAGAGUUGAGAGAAAGAAAAUAAAAUAAACUUAUUGACGAAAACUCUUUAAGGAGUCACUAACUGAAUGAGGUCUCCAAGUGCGAUUGACCCAAGAAAGUAACUCAAUUUCAGGACCAUUAACUCAACAACAAUUGACAAAAUUUUGGAUGGAAAGAUCAGACAACUUAAUCCAAAAUGUAUGUCAUAAUCAUUAGAGUUGACUAUCACUUUCAGAUAAAUUUUCCUUUUCUUUGUUUCAAUGGACAUUCAUUGUCUGUUCUUUCUUCUUUAUAUUUUUAUUUUUGUUUUUUCGAGUUAGUUAUUCAAAUAGAAAGUCAUUUUUCUUGUGUCUUUGAGUCAAACAAAUGUCAAAGCAAGUGAUAAAAGAUUUCAAAACUGGCUACCAACUUCUUUAAUUGCACAAAGUAAGACAAAGGGCCAGCACAUGAAAGAGACAUGAUUGUGAGCCAAAAUAAGGCAUGCAGAAAGUUUUGUCAACAGAUAAGUCUUGAAACUCAUGGAAAUACAAAGUUUUAAAGGAUUUAUCUGAGGAACAUAGCAAAAAAGAGAUAUUGUGUUUGUUUCAGAGUCACUCUUAAUAAUCUGAGUUUUGAUCAAUGGUGCAGCAACUCAAUACAUAUGCUAAUGAUUGGAAGCAAGAUUAGAAGUGACAAAUGCAAGAGAAUUCACCUCAAAAGCUAAACCACAAGCUAACCACCAUGUUUUUAAACUCACAAGUUUUCUUUGUAUGAAACAGGAACACAUGUUACCUUCAAAUAAGGAUUUCAAAGC
RNAcentral lists this long non-coding RNA (3856 nucleotides) under Capsicum annuum. Its description in RNAcentral is "long non-coding RNA (CANN_LNC003064)". Lineage: Eukaryota; Viridiplantae; Streptophyta; Magnoliopsida; Solanales; Solanaceae. The record is from RNAcentral.